Molecule: non-coding RNA, 73 nt
Organism: Myotis lucifugus (little brown bat)
Lineage: Eukaryota; Metazoa; Chordata; Mammalia; Chiroptera; Vespertilionidae
Source: Rfam
CACUUAAGGGAGGGUCCCUCAGCCCGGACUGCGAGAGGGCACAGGCCAGGCCGAGGGACCCCACCGGUGCGUG